RNAcentral lists this ribosomal RNA (279 nucleotides) under uncultured bacterium. Its description in RNAcentral is "partial 16S ribosomal RNA". It matches the Rfam family "Bacterial small subunit ribosomal RNA", at positions 506 to 784 of the family's 1533-position model. The record is from RNAcentral.
UGCCAGCCGCCGCGGUAAUACGGAGGGUGCAAGCGUUGUUCGGAAUUACUGGGCGUAAAGCGCGCGUAGGCGGCUAUUUAAGUCAGAUGUGAAAGUCCACGGCUCAACCGUGGAAGUGCAUUUGAAACUGGGUAGCUUGAGUAUUGGAGGGGGUGGUGGAAUUCCCGGUGUAGAGGUGAAAUUCGUAGAUAUCGGGAGGAAUACCGAUGGCGAAGGCAAUCUUCUGGACCAACACUGACACUCAAGCGCGAAAGCGUGGGGAGCAAACAGGAUUAGAUA